RNAcentral lists this ribosomal RNA (248 nucleotides) under uncultured bacterium. Its description in RNAcentral is "partial 16S ribosomal RNA". It matches the Rfam family "Bacterial small subunit ribosomal RNA", at positions 15 to 259 of the family's 1533-position model. The record is from RNAcentral.
GAUCCUGGCUCAGAUUGAACGCUGGCGGCAGGCUUAACACAUGCAAGUCGAACGGUAACAUAAAGAAGCUUGCUUCUUUGAUGACGAGUGGCGGACGGGUGAGUAAUGCUUGGGAAUCUAGCUUAUGGAGGGGGAUAACUACGGGAAACUGUAGCUAAUACCGCGUAAUAUCGAAAGAUUAAAGUGUGGGACCUUCGGGCCGCAUGCCAUAAGAUGAGCCCAAGUGGGAUUAGGUAGUUGGUGAAGGG